RNAcentral lists this ribosomal RNA (445 nucleotides) under uncultured bacterium. RNAcentral's name for it is "partial 16S ribosomal RNA". It matches the Rfam family "Bacterial small subunit ribosomal RNA", at positions 354 to 796 of the family's 1533-position model. The record is from RNAcentral.
GUGAGGAAUAUUGGUCAAUGGACGAGAGUCUGAACCAGCCAAGUCGCGUGAAGGAAGACGGUUCUAUGAAUUGUAAACUUCUUUUGUGCAGGAAUAAAGUGGGUUACGUGUAACCUUUUGUAUGUACUGUACGAAUAAGGAUCGGCUAACUCCGUGCCAGCAGCCGCGGUAAUACGGAGGAUCCGAGCGUUAUCCGGAUUUAUUGGGUUUAAAGGGUGCGUAGGUGGAUUGAUAAGUCAGCGGUGAAAGUUUGCAGCUUAACUGUAAAAUUGCCGUUGAAACUGUCGGUCUUGAGUGCAAAUGAGGUAGGCGGAAUGUGUUGUGUAGCGGUGAAAUGCUUAGAUAUAACACAGAACUCCGAUUGCGAAGGCAGCUUACUGGGAUGCAACUGACACUGAUGCACGAAAGCGUGGGGAUCAAACAGGAUUAGAAACCCCGGUAGUCC